GUCGAGGGGUAUGGCAGCAAUGCCAGAGACCGGCGCACGGGUGCGUAACGCGUAUGCAAUCUGCCUUUCACAGAGGGAUAGCCCAGGGAAAUUUGGAUUAAUACCUCAUAGCAUAAUGAGUUGGCAUCAACACAUUAUUAAAGUCACAACGGUGAAAGAUGAGCAUGCGUCCCAUUAGCUAGUUGGUAAGGUAACGGCUUACCAAGGCGACGAUGGGUAGGGGUCCUGAGAGGGAGAUCCCCCACACUGGUACUGAGACACGGACCAGACUCCUACGGGAGGCAGCAGUGAGGAAUAUUGGUCAAUGGGCGCAAGCCUGAACCAGCCAUGCCGCGUGCAGGAUGACGGUCCUAUGGAUUGUAAACUGCUUUUGUACGGGAAGAAACAGCGAUUCGUGAAUCGCCUUGACGGUACCGUAAGAAUAAGGAUCGGCUAACUCCGUGCCAGCAGCCGCGGUAAUACGGAGGAUCCAAGCGUUAUCCGGAAUCAUUGGGUUUAAAGGGUCCGUAGGCGGUUUUGUAAGUCAGUGGUGAAAGCCCAUCGCUCAACGGUGGAACGGCCAUUGAUACUGCAAGACUUGAAUUAUUAGGAAGUAACUAGAAUAUGUAGUGUAGCGGUGAAAUGCUUAGAGAUUACAUGGAAUACCAAUUGCGAAGGCAGGUUACUACUAAUGGAUUGACGCUGAUGGACGAAAGCGUGGGUAGCGAACAGGAUUAGAUACCCUGGUAGUCCACGCCGUAAACGAUGGAUACUAGCUGUUGGGAGCGAUCUCAGUGGCUAAGCGAAAGUGAUAAGUAU
RNAcentral lists this ribosomal RNA (798 nucleotides) under uncultured Bacteroidota bacterium. Its description in RNAcentral is "bacterial SSU rRNA". It matches the Rfam family "Bacterial small subunit ribosomal RNA", at positions 61 to 867 of the family's 1533-position model. The record is from RNAcentral. Lineage: Bacteria; Pseudomonadati; Bacteroidota.